GAGACUGGACCAAAUGUGUUGGGAACAAGGAAAAAAGGACAUGCCAAGCCAACUGCAGCUCACUCCCACGGAAAUGGAGUUUCCACACCGACGACCGCAUAGGGCUACACCUAGUUAACUGCCAGGAUCCGGAGGGGGGUCUUUUAUUAUUAUAUUAUAAUUAUUACUAUUUUUUGCAAGCCGAGACGCUGGACUAGCCAUGUCCUUUUCUCAGGAUUGGAUUUCUUUUUUUGUUGUUGUCAUUUUUUUUGCAAUCGCAGUCGUUUCUUUGUUGGUUUUUUUUUGUUUUGUUUUGUUUUCGUUUUCGUUUUUUGUUUGUUUUGUUUGGGCCUUUUUUUUCCUUCCCUGUCCCAGUACCUCUUCCUCCGAUUCCUCACUUUUUAUUUUUAAUUUGUUUUGUUUUUCCUUCUUUCGGUGGGAUGUUGACAUGAGGAUGAAAAUUCUCCUUCGCCUUAGUGGUGAUUGUUUAAACUUACAGUCUUAAACCGUGCCAAAGUCCUGUUAUGUCUUGAACUUUCCUCUCUAGCUCUCCUGCUGCUUCUUUCUCUGCUCUCCUCCUCUUUCUCCUUCUCUCUCUCUCCAAGCAUUACACUUGUGAAUGUAUUCUCGUCUGAUGGGGUCGGUCAGUAUUUUUCAGGAUGAGGAUGUGGUGUUUAUUCUACCCAGAUUGUGAUGUUUAGUAUAACAGUUGCCUUUUUGUAAUAACUUUUUUUUUGUAAAUACAUAUCCAUGAUGCCAUAUUUAUCGUUCGUAAUUUAAUUAUUGAUACAAAGUGCCGGGAACUGAACAAUAUUUAUGGGGAAGAAAAAAUUGUUUUCUAACAAAAAAAAUACAAACAAAAAAAAAAUCAACUCUGUACAGCUUUUGGUUAUAACUGCUUUAGCAUUAAAAGUUUAUUGUUUUGGAAAGAGCCCCCGCGAGCCGUUUUUAACCUCCUCCGUCCUCCCCGUUUCGGGGGUCGGGGGCAGCCGCGGGUGCCGCCGCGGUCCCGGCUCGCUGCCGCCGGGGCCGAGCCGUUGUUUUCGGGCCGGCGCUGCGGGAAAAAGCCUCCAGCUCCUCGCCGCUGCUUCUGCUGCUGCCCCUUUGUCCCCGCCCUCCGCUGCCGAACGGCUUCGCAUCCCCGCGACCUUCCCGAGCGGACGGAGCCCGGAGCCCGGGGCGCGGCGUCGCCGAGGGAGAGGAGCACCGGGGGCAGCGGGGCGCCUCGACGGGGUGGCCCCGACGGAUGCAGCAAAGCGUCCCCAUCCCUGA
RNAcentral lists this long non-coding RNA (1251 nucleotides) under Anas zonorhyncha (Eastern spot-billed duck). RNAcentral describes it as "lncRNA (ENSAZOG00000012827.1)". The record is from RNAcentral. Lineage: Eukaryota; Metazoa; Chordata; Aves; Anseriformes; Anatidae.